UAAUGCGCUGGCAGAUGUCUACACAUGCAGUCGACGAGAAGUCCUGCUUGCGGGAUGAGUAAGUGGCGCACGGGUGAGUAACACGUGGAUAAUCUGCCUCUAAGCGAGGAAUAACAUUUCGAAAGGAAUGCUAAUACCUCAUAAAGUUAUUUUCUCUUCGGAGAAAAUAGCCAAAGGUGACCUCUGUCUCAAGUUGCCGCUUAGAGAUGAGUCCGCGUCCCAUUAGCUAGUUGGUAGGAUAAAAGCCUACCAAGGCGACGAUGGGUAGCUGGUCUGAGAGGAUGAUCAGCCACACUGGAACUGAGAUACGGUCCAGACUCCUACGGGAGGCAGCAGUGAGGAAUCUUGCGCAAUGGGGGAAACCCUGACGCAGCAACGCCGUGUGAGUGAUGAAGGCUUUCGGGUCGUAAAGCUCUGUUUGAAGGGACGAAACGUAUUUGACUAAUACUCAAAUAAAUUGACGGUACCUUCGGAGGAAGCACCGGCUAACUCCGUGCCAGCAGCCGCGGUAAUACGGAGGGUGCAAGCGUUGUUCGGAAUCACUGGGCGUAAAGGGCGUGUAGGUGGCUAAUUAAGUCAGGUGUGAAAUCCUUCCGCUUAACGGAAGAAGUGCACUUGAAACUGCUUAGCUAGAGUACGAGAGAGGAAGGUGGAAUUCCUGGUGUAGAGGUGGAAUUCAUAGAUAUCGGGAAGAACACCGGUGGCGAAGGCGGCCUUCUGGCUCGAUACUGACGCUGAGACGCGAAAGCGUGGGGAGCAAACAGGAUUAGAUACCCUGCUAGUCCACGCCGUAGACGUUGGGCACUAGGUGGAGGAGGUUUUUAUUCCCUUCUUUGCUGCAGCUAACGCAUUAAGUGCCCCAGCCUGGCUAGUACAGGUCAGCAAGGG
This 888-nucleotide ribosomal RNA is filed under the name uncultured bacterium. RNAcentral describes it as "bacterial SSU rRNA". It matches the Rfam family "Bacterial small subunit ribosomal RNA", at positions 31 to 894 of the family's 1533-position model. The record is from RNAcentral.